GUAACCUUCCAGGUUUGUAUCUUGCUCUUCUAUUGUUUAUAGUCAUUUGCUGUUUCAAACUUUGUCUCCAUUGAACUUGAUAUAUUAACAUAUAGUUUUUUAGUAUGUAUCUUAACUUGUAAGCUUAGGCUGUGUGCGGUAUCACUAUUGUUUUUGAUUUUUCAUUUUUUUUAUGCUAAAAAAUAUGCAAUGUGUUUGUUUAAAAUGCCGUGUUUUCAUUUUUUAGCUCUUUUUACCAAAUGUUUUUAAAACACGCAGUGGAAAUAGGAAAUCCACAAAUCUUGAUUUUUGUUUCUAUGUAUUUAUUUUCUUCCUACACACUUUCUCUCCCUCUUGUCUCACUUCAUCAACACUAUGGCAAUUUUAAUCAAGAGCACUUGAAGAUUUUCCAUUUUCCUUCACCUUUUCCCAUUCCCUUUGAUUUUCCCUUGUUCAUUGUUGAUUGAUCAAGGAAUGAAGCCUAAUAAAUGCGCUGUCAAAGAUAAGGGUCCUCCCACAUAUAAUUGUAGACAUAGGGCCUGUUUGGCAUUACUGUUG
Molecule: unclassified non-coding RNA, 537 nt
Filed under: Hevea brasiliensis (rubber tree)
Lineage: Eukaryota; Viridiplantae; Streptophyta; Magnoliopsida; Malpighiales; Euphorbiaceae
Source: RNAcentral